Molecule: long non-coding RNA, 2358 nt
Filed under: Equus asinus (donkey)
Lineage: Eukaryota; Metazoa; Chordata; Mammalia; Perissodactyla; Equidae
Description: lncRNA (ENSEASG00005035359.1)
Source: RNAcentral
CGUCUGAGCUGCUCUGCCGACCCUCCGGCCCGGCAAUGGGGAGGGUGUGGACCCGGCACCGGGGCCAGGGAGGAGCUGGCAGCGUCACACCCUCUGGAAUGCUGCGGCUGCGAGUAACUCGCUCCAGAUUCGCGCAUUCCCGUCAGAACACGAAACCAGAGGAAAAACCCGUGAGGCCCAGAUUGAUCAGCACAGAACUUAGCAACAGCACAACAGGCUGUGGCCAGCCGCCCUGGCCCGCUAGAGGGGCUUUCCGCCAGGCCCGGGGUUGGGGGACUGGGAGCUGGCUCCACCACCCCUGACAGGCUUGCAGGGCCCAAAGGCCCCCCACCACGGGCGUCAGGGUGGAGGCGCUGGAGCUCCUGCUGGAACCACAGGGCUCCCAGAGAUGGUCUGAAAUCCCGGCCUUCCCCACGCGCUCCCUUCUAUGGGGUCUGAGAGGAGAACGCUGACGGGCGUCCCCACGCGCAGCCGUGGUUCACUCUGCUGGUUGGGCAGCCAGGAGCUGACAAGGGCAUGGGGGACUUCUGAGUUUCAGAAACAUCCAGAUGGUCCGGCAUUUCUUGCAGCUGCCACCUGGCCUGGUUGAACCUGCUCGUGGCCUGGCCGCAGUGGCAGGGAGUUAGGGCUGACCCUUUCAGCUGGGGGCCUGGAGGAGCCGGUGAAGGGCCAGAGCCUGGGAUCGCAGCAGCCCCACAUCUGCGCGCCUGACUCACGGACUCUGACAUAGUGACGGUUUGUGCAGCUUGCUAAGGAGAGAGCACCCAGGCCUGUCCUCCAAGGGCCCCGUCUGAGGCCCCGUCUCAGAGGUGCGGCAGUAACAGGGUCCCUCUGGAGCCCCAGCCCCCAGGGGGGAGUCCCUGCCCCACCUACCAGUCUGUGGCCCGUGCACAGUUUCUCCUCCCUGAGUGUCACCGCUUCCUCGCCUGUGAGCUGGGAGGACUAAGUGACCAGCGUGGCUCGUUCCUGGCACCACAUACACUGCAGCCCUCAUUCUGGUUGUUCCCACAUCUUGGCUGUCGUGAAUAGUGCUACAGCAAACAUCAAACUAAAAAGCUUCCACCCAGCAAAGGAGACAAUCAACAGAGUGAAAAGGCAACUACAGAGUGGGAGAAGAUAUUUACCAACCAUGUGUCUGAUAAGGGGUAUAUAGCCAAAGUACAUAAGGAACUCCUACAACUCCACAGCAAAAAAUUGAAUAACUCAAUUGAAAAAUGGACUAAGGAGUUGAAUUUUUCCAAAGAAGACACACAAGUGGCCAACAGAGAAGCCAAGGAAGAAAGCAAACCACUCCUGAUUCACUGCCACCAUCUCCUCAUCAAGAUAAUCCCUGUUAACAUUUUGCCCCCCGGUACAUAGUUGUGUAUUCUUCGUUGUGGGUCCUUCCAGCCGUGGCAUGUGGGACGCUGCCUCAGCGUGGUUUGAUGAGCAGUGCCAUGUCCGCGCCCAGGACCCGAACCAACGAAACACUGGGCCGCCUGCAGCGGAGCGCGCGAACCCAACCACUCGGCCACGGGGCCAGGCCCUCUAGCUCUUUUUUUAAGUUAAUAACUCAUCAAUAUUCUCAUGCUAAAUUUGUUCCAACGAGGUUGAAUCCCAGGCCCCGUGCGGCGAUGAUGGAAAGAGGAGCUGCCACCCGAAGCUGGGAGGAGAUGACGGGCAGUCAGCCGGUGGGGGAGCGGAUGGCUCUGUUCAAACCCCGGCCAGCCUACCCACGGGCUUUCGACGCCACAGCAGCCGGUCAGCGCCGUCCUCUGCUACCGAGCCGCAGGCUGGUAGUGCCGGGAUUCUGCCACUUCCACCGAAAGAUGGCUGAGUUUACCACCCUCAGAGCUUGUCGCAAAUCCAGACCCAACUCCCUGCACCAGCUGGGCAACAAAUUGUCUCAAGUUGGUAUGGACAGAGUUGUGUCCCCCACCCUUCGAUUCAUGUGUUGAUGUCCCAAACCCCCCCGGUACCUGGGAGGCAAUUGAGGUUAAAUGAGGUCAUCAGGUGGGCCCUGAAAGGAAGAAGUAGGGCCACCAGAGCUCUCCCCCUCCGCACGUGCUCAGAGGAAAGGCCACGCAGGGACACAGCAAGAAGGCAGGAGGAGGGGCCACCAGACACCAGCCUUGAUGACACCCUGAUCUUGGACUUCCAGUGCCUCCAGAACCGUGAGGACAUACAUUUCUGCUGUCUAAGCCACCCCGUCUGUGACACUCUGUUAUGGUAGCCCCAGCAGACUAAUGCACAAGUGUGGGAGCGCCCCUAAUGGCCAGGGGUGCAGUUUUAGCAGCAUUACAUUCUUUGUAUUUGAGGGGCUUUUCCUUUCCAAUUUUUAAAAUUGUAAUAACACAUAUAACAUAAAAUUUACCCUCU